CCUACGGGCGGCAGCAGUGAGGAAUAUUGGUCAAUGGGCGCGAGCCUGAACCAGCCAAGUAGCGUGAAGGAUGACUGCCCUACGGGUUGUAAACUUCUUUUAUAAAGGAAUAAAGUGAGGCACGUGUGCCUUUUUGUAUGUACUUUAUGAAUAAGGAUCGGCUAACUCCGUGCCAGCAGCCGCGGUAAUACGGAGGAUCCGAGCGUUAUCCGGAUAUAUGGGGUUAAAAGGGAGCGUAGAUGGAUUGUUAAGUCAGUUGUGAACGUUUGCGGCUCAACCGUAAAAUUGCAAUUGAUACUGGCAGCCUUGAGUACAGUUGAGGUAGGCGGAAUUCGUGGUGUAGCGGUGAAAUGCUUAGAUAUCACGAAGAACUCCGAUUGCGAAGGCAGCCUACUAAACUGCCACUGACAUUGAUGCUCGAAAGUGUGAGUAUCAAACAGGAUUAGAUACCCUGGUAGUC
This 460-nucleotide ribosomal RNA is filed under the name uncultured bacterium. Its description in RNAcentral is "partial 16S ribosomal RNA". It matches the Rfam family "Bacterial small subunit ribosomal RNA", at positions 338 to 795 of the family's 1533-position model. The record is from RNAcentral.